Molecule: non-coding RNA, 1070 nt
Organism: Astyanax mexicanus (Mexican tetra)
Lineage: Eukaryota; Metazoa; Chordata; Actinopteri; Characiformes; Acestrorhamphidae
Source: the annotation of a RefSeq genome assembly
AUGGAUCUUAGUUUUAGAAAUUUCCAUUAAAAUUUCAGUUCAGAUAAAAACGUUAGUGAUGCUCCACUGAACCCAGAUCUGCUCUGAUAGAUAAGAGAAGUGAAACACACACACACACACACACACACACACACACUCACACACACACACACACACACACACACACACACACACACUCAGUGUUCUCCUCCAGCUGUUCCUCUGUACUGACUGAAUGAGAGCUGGAGCUGUGUGUAGGGUGGGGGUGUAUCUGAUUCUGUACACUCUUCACUAUAUAGUGCACUCCAGUACUCCAUAUCCACUACUCUUACAGCGCACUCAAACAGCCCGGGUUCAAACCCUGCACCCCAGCUCACACCACUACCCAUAAUGCACUGUGCUCCUGAUUUCUCUACAGAGUCCAGAACCAUCAGAACCCAAUUCAGUACCGGAGAACCAGAACCACAGUGUCGGUUCUCUACAGUGCUGUUCUAGAUCCUUUAUUAGCAGAUCAUUAUGAACACUGUGUAUCUGUGUGUGUGUAUCUGUGUGUGUGUGUCUCCUACAGGUGAAACUCCUCCCACUCUUACAGUCCUGCCCCCGUCCAGUGCAGAGCUGGAGCAGGGGGAGGUCACACUGCUGUGUGUGGGCAGCGGGGGCUUCCCCUCAGACUGGAAGCUGAGCUGGAAGGUGGGCGGCAGCAGCUGGAGCUCGGGGGUCCGUCACAGCCCCGCUCUUCUGAAGAAGGACCACGGCCUCUACAGCUGGAGCAGCACCCUGACCCUCCAGCAGCAGCAGUGGAUGAAGAACACAGUGACCUGUGAGGCCACCAAGAACUCCCAGUCUGUAGCCAGUAAACCAGUGAGCGCAGACCAGUGCUCUAACCUCUAAACACACACACACACACACACUUAUAAACACACACACACACACACACACAGAGAUACACACACUCCUCUACUUCAUUAAAGUCACUGUCUGUAGCUGAACUGUGUGUUAGAUGUGUUUGAACCUGGUUUACUUUGUAUUACUUUUGUCUUUUGCUUCAUUUUCUGUUUGAAUACAUAAUAAAAGUCUUUUUUGAACUCCUA